This 30-nucleotide non-coding RNA is filed under the name Rattus norvegicus (Norway rat). Lineage: Eukaryota; Metazoa; Chordata; Mammalia; Rodentia; Muridae. The record is from RNAcentral.
UAGUGGCAAAAGCCUACCUGCUAUUGGUGU